Long non-coding RNA from Lucilia cuprina (Australian sheep blowfly), 3115 nucleotides. RefSeq lists it as uncharacterized. NCBI's taxonomy places the organism in Eukaryota, Metazoa, Arthropoda, Insecta, Diptera, Calliphoridae. The record is from RefSeq and is a predicted model, not a curated record. The transcript has 3 exons.
GAAAAUUGUCUACAAAUUGUUAAAUUUUUAUAUUUUUGCAAACUGUCUCUAUUUUUUGUCACACCAUUUUAUAUAGCUUAAUUUAAAAUUACAUUAAAAUUACGAAUAGCGCCGCGUAAACUAUUGCAAAAAUAAUGGUACUAUAUUCACAACAGAUCAAUACAAAAUUUCAGUUAGUUUUACCAACUCUAUUCUUUGUAGGAGAAAUUUUAUAUGGAAUGAAACUUAGAACGUAAUAUUGGCUCUAUUUCAUCGAACAUCACUGUAUGUAAUUAUUUGAGAAUAGUUUUGUUUCAUUCUGGUAAUUUUUCCCAAUAAAUUUCCUUAAUAUUCCACGUUUAAAGGUUUAAGUCUUCCUGGCGACUGUAGGCGACAUAGUGAACCAAAUGGAAAAACCGUAAAUGAGGACCGAUAUGAUUGUCCUGGCGAUUUCCCAAUAAAUUUCCUUAAUAUUCCACGUUUAAAGGUUUAAGUCUUCCUGGCGACUGUAGGCGACAUAGUGAACCAAAUGGGAAAACCGUAAAUGAGGAUCGAUAUGAUUGUCCUGGCGAUUUCCUGCGUUAUUAUUGAAUUUCAACAGUUUGUCAAAUUUUAUUCCCACUUACUUUAUUGAGUUUUUAAUCGGAAUUUCCACCCCAUUUUAAUAAAGUCUCAAUGAUUUACCAGAUGCAUUUCUGAUGCAAAUGUUCAGAGCUUCUGAUGGUGAAAUGUUAUGUGAAUAAAUGAGGCAAUCAUCGGCAUAGAGAAUAACCUUAGAGUUGUUGUACUGAUGAGGGAAAUCAUGGAGGAAUUUAUUAAAAAGAAAUUGCACUAAUAUGCUGCCCUGAAGAACUCCAAUGUUGACAGUGCUGAUUUCCGAUAUGGUGUUGUUGAUUUGGUCGCAGACUUCUCUUUUAGUGAAAUAAUUAUUCAAUAUUUUCAGAAUAUAAGGAUCAAUGCCAAGAUCGAAUAAUUUACCAAUAUUGGACAAUAAGGAUAUCGGUCGAAAUUCCUCUAGCUUCUUACUAUCUCUUUUCUUUUUGAUAGUCAGAAUUUUUGCUAUCAAAUUAAUACGCCCAGAAACUUUUUACGAUUUUGUUUACAUUGUUUUUGGCUAUAGUUUUCCCUCAUGAGUUUUUCUAAUUCUCUCCUUUCGACUAUCAAUAAACUUUUUGUAGGCAGUACACCCUAUUUAAUUUGCAGGAUGCCCCACAAUUCACAUAAUAUGAAUCUGAGGCUUCAGAUUUUGAUUUUUAACAUACGCCUGGAAUGUUUUUUAUAAAAUUUUACGCACUUGUACUCAGAAUUGCAAUUCUUUAAUAUAUUCGCUGACACCUGUGACCAUUCUAAUUUUUUUCGGUCUUUCCCACUGACUAGCAGAUAUUUAAUAUGUGAAAUGUCGCUAAGUGUUCUCCUAGGUUUUAACUUGAUCAGAAACAACAACCAGUAUUAUUCUCACGUAAUAUAACCAUCAUUUCCGUGUGUACCAAUGCACCAAAUAAAGCUUGCUUUUAUGUUUAUUGACGUUUCUUAUUUUAAAAUUAAUUUUUGGUGUCUACGCUUUUAAUUGCUCAACUAGGCGCUUUAUAUUUACAUUGUAUAAUAAUAUUGGUGGGCAAUAUGGCGUUCCCUUUGUUGUAGCCGUGUCAGCCUUUUCAUUUCUUCCCAUCUUGGGACGUUCUUCAUUGUUCUCAAUUUCCACUCCAGCAAGUAAAUCGUAUCUGUUUUCACCCAAAUGGGAGACACUAAUAUUGGUAGGUGAUCCAUUAGAUACCUACCAACAACAAACAACAGUUGAUGACCCAUCAACUGUUGUUGACCAUCGACAUUACAAUCGCCAUCCAAGCCGUCUUCUUCCAUGUUCCACAGAAUAUUGCAAAGAGUGUGCGGGAAAAUAGUUAAAAUUAAUUGAAAAAUACACAAAAAAAUAAAUUAUGCGCUAAAGAAAAACCUCCUCUGUCGUUGACAGUGAUACCGUAUCCCAGUCAUAAGAAAGCAACCAGGGUUCACUUAGACCUAGUCCUUAGUCCACACUAGGAAACUUUUGUUGAGAAGCAUUUUCUUAAUUCUCUUUUAAAGUUUCCUUAAUGCCCACACAGAAACUUUUGUUACAGAAACUACGUAGUAAUUGCAUUGAUUUGUUGUACGAAUGAUAAGAAUAACAAAACAAGUUUCCGAGUACGGAGAACUUCGUACCGCGUGAGAAAUAAAUGAUAUUUUUUCUCUCUUACGUGAAAUCAAAAGUAUAUAAGAUGAAAUCAAUUCAAUAUCUGAUCGUUAUUUUUUUAUGAAAGUUGUAUACAACUGUCAAAAUGUACAACUUCGAGUUGCCAGAUGCACAAACAAGUCAUUUAUUUGCAUAGGUAUUAAUUCAUUUUUUUUUUUUUUUUGUUAAAAAAUGUAUUUGUUUUAUGUGGAGAAUUUUGAGCAUGUGGGAUUUGCAUUAUUUACGGUAUAUACACUUUUUGGGCAUAAAUCAAGCUUUCUGAUCCAGCAGAUUUUGAAACUUUUGUUUCUACAUGAUAGUCAUUGUUCUUGUGACUACAAGAAAGGAAAAAAAGUUAUCCGCACUAUUAAGGUUCGGGAGUUAUGGUCCUCCAAAGUUUUAAUAUAUAAUUGGAUAUAUUUUGAUUACUGAUUAACGGAAUGGUCGAUAUAGGUAUCAUUGAAAAGUGCUUCCAAUUGAUGUGUAAGAUAACAAAUAUCAUUAACCCAUUGAAAACCAGGAUGAUUUUUUAUGUUUUUUCCUUUGAAUUUUUUUUUAAAAAGUACCGUUAUUUCUAAAACAUAUUGAUAUCUCAUCUUACAUAAAAGUACCGUUAUUUCUAAAACAUAUUGAUUAAAAUUUGUAGACAAUAUUUGGGGUUUUCCUUUGAUAUAUGUUUGAAAGCUGUAACUCAUGAAAUGCAGGUGUUAUUUAACUUUAAAAUUUGAUAAUUUAAAUAAACUUUUAUUUUUAUGAUAUGUAAUUAAAAAUCUCAAGUGCUUAUAAUUUUAUAUGGUUGAUAUUGGUAUCAGUGAAUAUUAUAACCAGGGCAAGGAUUUCUAUGCAAAUGCAUGUUUGUAGUCAGUAAUUCAAAAUAACUUUAAAGUAGUUUUCUUUUCGAAUUAAAUAAUUUGCUACAAAAUGGCAUCU